UAUGUAGGGUGCAAGCGUUGUCCGGAAUUAUUGAGCGUAAAGAGCUCGUAGGCGGUCUGUUGCGUCCGCUGUGAAAACUCGGGGCUUAACCCCGAGCCUGCAGUGGAUACGGGCAGACUAGAGGUAGGUAGGGGAGAAUGGAAUUCCCGGUGUAGCGGUGAAAUGCGCAGAUAUCGGGAGGAACACCGGUGGCGAAGGCGGUUCUCUGGGCCUUACCUGACGCUGAGGAGCGAAAGCGUGGGGAGCGAACAGG
This 253-nucleotide ribosomal RNA is filed under the name uncultured bacterium. RNAcentral describes it as "partial 16S ribosomal RNA". It matches the Rfam family "Bacterial small subunit ribosomal RNA", at positions 524 to 776 of the family's 1533-position model. The record is from RNAcentral.